UACGAAGGGGGCUAGCGUUGUUCGGAAUUACUGGGCGUAAAGGGCGCGUAGGCGGUGUGUCAAGUCAGGCGUGAAAGCCCCGGGCUCAACCUGGGAAUGGCAUGGGAAACUGGCGAACUGGAGUGUGGCAGAGGGGGGUGGAAUUCCGCGUGUAGCAGUGAAAUGCGUAGAGAUGCGGAGGAACACCGAUGGCGAAGGCAGCCCCCCUGGGCUGACACUGACGCUCAGGCACGAAAGCGUGGGGAGCAAACAGG
RNAcentral lists this ribosomal RNA (254 nucleotides) under uncultured bacterium. RNAcentral describes it as "partial 16S ribosomal RNA". It matches the Rfam family "Bacterial small subunit ribosomal RNA", at positions 524 to 776 of the family's 1533-position model. The record is from RNAcentral.